Molecule: long non-coding RNA, 885 nt
Filed under: Fukomys damarensis (Damara mole-rat)
Lineage: Eukaryota; Metazoa; Chordata; Mammalia; Rodentia; Bathyergidae
Description: lncRNA (ENSFDAG00000032022.1)
Source: RNAcentral
GUUAUGUGGUAGCAAUAAAAAUAAAUGGUGAUGGUUCACUUCUUCCUUACAGCCUCUGGCAGUAGCAGGUAUCAUUAAUUGACAUACCCUAUGCCUCUGUGGAGGUUCUUGAGGCUGAGCUUCAGGACAGAAACUCUACUAUCAAUUGCCCACAGAUGAUAAAAUGAAGUCCAAAGUGAUAAAAAUAAAAGUCAGAGUGAUAAAAGAUCAUUCAAGGUCACAACCUCAUGACGGAGACAGUCAUUUCUCAGUGGCCGGAGUAUCUUCUGUCCCUUUGUAACAAGGAGCUGCUUCUUUCAAGGCAUCCUCACCUCCUGAGGAACAGAUUUCAUCGAAUGAAUGGCUACCGCCCAAAGAUAUGGCAGCAAGAACAUCAAGUAAGGAAACCUUUCAAGACUCAUUCCACCUCCACUGAUGCCUUUAAUCUUGGCUGAGGCCUUGACACAUUGCCUCUUGGAUGAUCCUACUCCUUCAAUUCAAUCCUGCUUCACUCACUGCCUCACAGGUGUUACUUCUGAUGUUUUUCCAUAACAAAUUUCCUGCAUAGUUUCUCCUGCUGGGACUUGACUUUCGAGGGAAACUAUUAGAUCUUGUAUAUUAGAGGCAACGCGACAGUGGUGAACUGGGGAAGAUACCAGCAUGCAGAAAUGCACUGACAGGUGCAAUAUUUCACCAUUUCAGGUAUUUAUAAGAAUUUGUUGUGAGUCUACAGAUAAUAUUGUUAGGAGCUCCUGAUUCACCAAAUACAGUUUAAAAUGAUUAUUCACCAAUUUAAGACAGAAUGUGGCUAUAAAAGGAACUCUUUGGUGGCAAAUAAUGAUACUGUUAUCUCCUGAAGUUGCUUGGAAAAAAAAAAGGUGCGGAUCAAGCUCACUACUAAAUCAU